AUGGAGCCAGUAAAUUGAGCAGUUGCUCGAUGAACCGCUCGACUCUCGCUCGUUUUGUCUGAGGCGCUCAAUGUGGGUCACUUGAGGGUUUUGAGCACUGCUAUAUAAGCAAUACAAACCCAUGCCGCUCCAGCCAUUUGAACUAUUCCCCCAAACAUCAUUCCUCCGUGCGAUUUUCCUUCCAUUUCUCACCUCUCAUUAGUCGAGUGAUUUCUCUAACAAAAUCAGAAGUCCACUCACGACAUUGAGCCUGCGAUGUGUACAAGGACGGACAACAACUUUUGCUCCAGCCAAGCACAAUUUCCAUGAAUCGUGUGGGUACAUAUUAGACAGCCAUUGAGCUGAAACUCGUGGGUCUAUAUGUAUGUUUAUAUAUACCAGAUGAAGAGGACGUCAAAGAUAGCAGAAGAGAACUUACCACAGGAGGUUGCGGACGGCUUGGGGCUAGUUUAACAACACGGUGGGGUAGCCUAAUCAUGAAGGAAGAGAGAGAGAGAGAGAGAGAGAGAGAGAGAGAGAGAGAGUUAGAAAGAUCAGUUGGAGGAGGGAGAUACGUGCCUGAAUUUUUAAAGGCGAAGAUGCAAUGAUGCGGCAGCAGGCUCAUGGUGAUUGUAGUGGUGGCAACACUUUCACAAAGGAGAGAGAGAGAGAGAGAGAGAGAGAGAGAGAGAAUCGGGGUAGCGAAGCAAAAAUUAGACAAUAUUUCAAAGCGUAGAAAAUAAAAUAUGAGUUUUAUCGGCGAUAUUUCACACUGCAAUAUAUAUAUAACCUUAGCCAAGAUUACAACGUUCCCUCAUGGUGAUUAAUGUACUCGAUGGAAAUUACAUAUAUUUUUAAGCGAGUUUAUUUUUGCCGCGA
This is a long non-coding RNA of Carya illinoinensis, 858 nucleotides long. RefSeq lists it as uncharacterized. NCBI's taxonomy places the organism in Eukaryota, Viridiplantae, Streptophyta, Magnoliopsida, Fagales, Juglandaceae. The transcript has 2 exons. The record is from RefSeq and is a predicted model, not a curated record.